This is a non-coding RNA of Loxodonta africana (African savanna elephant), 92 nucleotides long. Lineage: Eukaryota; Metazoa; Chordata; Mammalia; Proboscidea; Elephantidae. The record is from Rfam.
CAGAACUGGUCGGUGAUUUAGGUAGUUUCCUGUUGUUGGGAUCCACCUUUCUCUCUCGACAGCACGACACUGCCUUCAUUACUUCAGUUGAA